AUUGAACGCUGGCGGAAUGCUUUACACAUGCAAGUCGAACGGCAGCACGGGGGCAACCCUGGUGGCGAGUGGCGAACGGGUGAGUAAUACAUCGGAACGUGCCCAGUCGUGGGGGAUAACGUAGCGAAAGUUACGCUAAUACCGCAUACGAUCUACGGAUGAAAGCGGGGGACCGUAAAGCCUCGCGCGUUUGGGACGGCCGAUGUCAGAUUAGGUAGUUGGGGAGGUAAAGGCUCACCAAGCCAACUAUCGGUAGCUGGUAUGAGAGGACGAACAGCCACACUGGGACUGAGACACGGCCCAGACUCCUACGGGAGGCAGCAGUGGGGAGUUUUGGACAAUGGGCGCAAGCCUGAUCCAGCCAUUCCGCGUGCAGGACGAAGGCCUUCGGGUUGUAAACUGCUUUUGUACGGAACGAAAAGGCUCUGGUUAAUACCUGGGGCUCAUGACGGUACCGUAAGAAUAAGCACCGGCUAACUACGUGCCAGCCGCCGCAGUAA
This 500-nucleotide ribosomal RNA is filed under the name uncultured bacterium. RNAcentral's name for it is "partial 16S ribosomal RNA". It matches the Rfam family "Bacterial small subunit ribosomal RNA", at positions 30 to 523 of the family's 1533-position model. The record is from RNAcentral.